AUUGAACGCUGGCGGCAUGCCUUACACAUGCAAGUCGAACGGCAGCACGGGUGCUUGCACCUGGUGGCGAGUGGCGAACGGGUGAGUAAUACAUCGGAACAUGUCCUGUAGUGGGGGAUAGCCCGGCGAAAGCCGGAUUAAUACCGCAUACGAUCUACGGAUGAAAGCGGGGGACCUUCGGGCCUCGCGCUAUAGGGUUGGCCGAUGGCUGAUUAGCUAGUUGGUUGGGUAAAGGCCUACCAAGGCGACGAUCAGUAGCUGGUCUGAGAGGACGACCAGCCACACUGGGACUGAGACACGGCCCAGACUCCUACGGGAGGCAGCAGUGGGGAAUUUUGGACAAUGGGCGAAAGCCUGAUCCAGCAAUGCCGCGUGUGUGAAGAAGGCCUUCGGGUUGUAAAGCACUUUUGUCCGGAAAGAAAUCCUUGGCCCUAAUACGGUCGGGGGAUGACGGUACCGGAAGAAUAAGCACCGGCUAACUACGUG
Molecule: ribosomal RNA, 486 nt
Filed under: uncultured bacterium
Lineage: Bacteria
Description: partial 16S ribosomal RNA
Rfam family: Bacterial small subunit ribosomal RNA
Source: RNAcentral